Molecule: long non-coding RNA, 1698 nt
Organism: Oncorhynchus keta (chum salmon)
Lineage: Eukaryota; Metazoa; Chordata; Actinopteri; Salmoniformes; Salmonidae
Exons: 3
Source: RefSeq, a predicted model, not a curated record
UAGCUAUUAGAUCAGCCGCUGUCAAGUCGUUGUUCCUCCUUUAAUGGUUGAGAUAUAUACUAGGCUUUUCUCUAGCUCCAGCAAUAGACUUCACUGCCCUAGCCAAUCAGAGAUAAGAGGUGGUGACAUUGGUGGCAGGGCUGUAUUAUGGGAGCCUUAAGAGUCUCAUUGAACUUGUCUGUUUCUGGAUCUCAACGAAUAAGACCGGCCCAGCACUACUUUACCAUCUCUCUUCCCCGUGGGGUUUGGAGGUAAUCCAAUCUAAACAUGGCAGAUGAAGAAAAUGAGGAGGAAGGUACAGUAAGACUUUGAGAAUGGAUUAUUACUUUUUGACUGAACAAAAUAUGCUUCAAGCCACUGUACACUGAGUGUACAAAACAUUAGGAACACCUGCUCUUUCCAUGACAUAGAUUGACCAGGUGAAAACCUAUGAUCCUUAAUUGAUGUCCUCUAUUAAAUCCACUUCAAUCAGUGUAGAUGAAGGGACAGGUUAAAGAAGGAUUUUUAAGCCUUGCGACAAUUGUGUGUGCAAUUCACAGGGUGAAUGGGCCAGCAAGAUAUUUUGAAACUGGGUAUGGUAAUAGGGGCCAGGCGCACCGGUUUGAUAAUGUCAAGAACUGCAACACUGCUGUUUUUUUUCACGCUCAACAGUUUCCCGUGUGUAUCAAAAAUGGUCCACCGCCCAAAGGACAUCCAGCCAACUUGACACAACUGUGGGAAGCAUCCCUGUGGAACGCUUUCAACACCUUGUAGAGUCCAUGCCCCGGCAAAUUGAGGCUGCUCAGAGGGGAAUAGGGGUUUACAACUCAAUAUUAGGAAGGGGUUCCUGAUGUUUUAUACACUCAAUUGCACAUAUAAUGCUAAGAUUGACUAUAUUAGCUAUAUUGCUGAGCUGACUUCACCUAUGUCUGCGCAGUCGCAGAAACCCCCGCAGAGGAAGGUAAAAGCUUUGCAUGGCUCCGUGCGUUACUUGGACAUUGUUUGAUGGAGCGCAUGAUAGAUAUACUGUAGCAAGUCUAUUGUGCUUCUUGUGUCAUUGUCAAAGCCUGUCAUAGGCCAUUCGUUACUGUUUACACUCAAAUUCUCCGUGAAUUUCAAAAAAGCACGCUUCGUGUACCUGAUCAAAAUACACGUUAAGUGAGAUCUUUUUCACGUGAAAUUUAAAAUGCUAUGUCUACGUUUUGUCUGUCAAGAUAAACAUGUAUAAUUUGCAUAUAUUUUGUAUACUGAUUUCCUACCCUUCUGUCUCUGUGGUGUAUGCUUACAUCGACAUCCAAUUCAUGAGUAUGAGACUUAUACCCUUUUCAUGCGUCCAUCUCCAUAUUCCAUCCACUAGCUAGACAGUGUUGUUCACUCCAGAAUGAUUCUCAAUGUUCUGACAAAGGUUUGCAUGACAUGUUUGUAUGUACUGUAUGGAAAUCACACUGAGACUAAAUCAGAUUUAAACAUUUGGAUCCAAUCUGAUCCUUAUGUAUGAAAAUGAGUUUCAUACCAGUUUGAUCGUGUAAUAAACAGUUUGCCUUGAUCUUAUCGUAGAAGUGGCCCAGACGACAGCUCUAGGAUAAGAUCACCCAACCCCAAUUCUAAACCACAAUCAUUAUUAUCCUUAAACAAUAGCUGACCCUAGGUCAGUGGUUAGGGCCAACUUCUGCCAACUCAUUGCUUUAUAUAGAUCCAAUAAUCAAUCUUCUGUCCACU